RNAcentral lists this ribosomal RNA (378 nucleotides) under uncultured bacterium. Its description in RNAcentral is "bacterial SSU rRNA". It matches the Rfam family "Bacterial small subunit ribosomal RNA", at positions 521 to 896 of the family's 1533-position model. The record is from RNAcentral.
UAAUACGAAGGGCCCGAGCGUUGCGCGGAAUCACUGGGCUUAAAGCGUACGUAGGCGGGCAUGCAGGUAUCUUGUGAAAUCCCUCGGCUCAACCGAGGAACUGCUUGGUAAACCGCAUGUCUUGAGGCAAGUAGGGGCUGUCGGAACGAUAGGUGGAGCGGUGAAAUGCGUUGAUAUCUAUCGGAACGCCGAAGGUGAAGACAGGCAGCUGGGCUUGUUCUGACGCUGAUGUACGAAAGCGUGGGGAGCGAACGGGAUUAGAUACCCCGGUAGUCCACGCCGUAAACGAUGUGCACUAGAUCGAGGGGGUUCUGACGCCAUUCUCGGUCGAAGCAAAAGUGUUAAGUGCACCGCCUGGGGAGUACGGUCGCAAGGCUA